UACAGAGGGUGUGAGCGUUGUUCGGAAUUAUUGGGCGUAAAGGGCGCGUAGGCGGCGCCACAAGUCACUUGUGAAAACUCUGGGCUCAACUCAGAGCCUGCAAGCGAAACUGUGGUGCUGGAGUAUGGGAGAGGUGCGUGGAAUUCCCGGUGUAGCGGUGAAAUGCGUAGAUAUAGGAAGGAACACCAGUGGCGAAGGCGACCACCUGGACUGAUACUGACACUGAGGUGCGAAAGCGUGGGGAGCAAACAGG
Molecule: ribosomal RNA, 253 nt
Filed under: uncultured prokaryote
Description: partial 16S ribosomal RNA
Rfam family: Bacterial small subunit ribosomal RNA
Source: RNAcentral